This 367-nucleotide ribosomal RNA is filed under the name Culex vishnui. RNAcentral's name for it is "partial large subunit ribosomal RNA". It matches the Rfam family "Eukaryotic large subunit ribosomal RNA", at positions 644 to 966 of the family's 3401-position model. Lineage: Eukaryota; Metazoa; Arthropoda; Insecta; Diptera; Culicidae. The record is from RNAcentral.
UUGACCCGUCUUGAAACACGGACCAAGAAGUCUAUCUUGCGCGCGAGCCAAUGGUACUCAGUUGAAACACCAAAGGCGUAAAAAACAUAACUUGAAACUGUGCGGGAUUACGGGCGAGACUCUCUGCUCGUCCCUCCAUCCCCGGGUGUUAUACCAGGCAUGCCGGAGGCUUCGGCCCUCGGUGCCAUAACAUACCGCGAGUGUGCAGGAUGUGACCCGAAAGAUGGUGAACUAUGCCUGAUCAGGUUGAAGUCAGGGGAAACCCUGAUGGAGGACCGAAGCAGUUCUGACGUGCAAAUCGAUUGUCAGAAUUGGGCAUAGGGGCGAAAGACCAAUCGAACCAUCUAGUAGCUGGUUCCUUCCGAAA